RNAcentral lists this ribosomal RNA (910 nucleotides) under uncultured archaeon. RNAcentral's name for it is "bacterial SSU rRNA". It matches the Rfam family "Archaeal small subunit ribosomal RNA", at positions 141 to 1054 of the family's 1478-position model. The record is from RNAcentral.
UGAGGAUAAACCGCGUUAGGUCAUCACUUCUGGAAUGGGUAAUGACUUAAAUCUAUAUGGCCCCUGGAUUGGACUGCGGCCGAUCAGGCUGUUGGUGAGGUAAUGGCCCACCAAACCUGUAACCGGUACGGGCUCUGAGAGGAGGAGCCCGGAGAUGGGCACUGAGACAAGGGCCCAGGCCCUAUGGGGCGCAGCAGGCGCGAAACCUCUGCAAUAGGCGAAAGCCUGACAGGGUUACUCUGAGUGAUUUCCGUUAAGGAGAUCUUUUGGCACCUCUAAAAAUGGUGCAGAAUAAGGGGUGGGCAAGCCUGGUGUCAGCCGCCGCGGUAAUACCAGCACCCCGAGUGGUCGGGACGUUUAUUGGGCCUAAAGCAUCCGUAGCCGGUUCUACAAGUCUUCCGUUAAAUCCACCUGCUUAACAGAUGGGCUGCGGAAGAUACUAUAGAGCUAGGAGGCGGGAGAGGCAAGCGGUACUCGAUGGGUAGGGGUAAAAUCCGUUGAUCCAUUGAAGACCACCAGUGGCGAAGGCGGCUUGCCAGAACGCGCUCGACGGUGAGGGAUGAAAGCUGGGGGAGCAAACCGGAUUAGAUACCCGGGUAGUCCCAGCUGUAAACGAUGCAGACUCGGUGAUGAGUUGGCUUAUUGCUAACUCAGUACCGCAGGGAAGCCGUUAAGUUUGCCGCCUGGGGAGUACGGUCGCAAGACUGAAACUUAAAGGAAUUGGCGGGGGAGCACCACAAGGGGUGAAGCCUGCGGUUCAAUUGGAGUCAACGCCGGAAAUCUUACCGGGGGCGACAGCAGAGUGAAGGUCAAGCUGAAGACUUUACCAGACAAGCUGAGAGGAGGUGCAUGGCCGUCGCCAGCUCGUGCCGUGAGGUGUCCUGUUAAGUCAGGUAACGAGCGAGACCCC